CCUACGGGAGACAGCAGUGAGGAAUAUUGGUCAAUGGACGAGAGUCUGAACCAGCCAAGUAGCGUGAAGGAUGACUGCCCUAUGGGUUGUAAACUUCUUUUAUAUGGGAAUAAAACGUUUCACGUGUGGGAUUUUGUAUGUACCAUAUCAAUAAGGAUCGGCCAACUCCGUUCCAGCAGCCGCGGUAAUACGGAGGAUCCGAGCGUUAACCGGAUUUAUUGGGUUUAAAGGGAGCGUAGGUGGAUUGUUAAGUCAGUUGUGAAAGUUUGGGGCUCAACCGUAAAAUUGCAGUUGAAACUGGCAGUCUUGAGUACAGUAGAGGAGAGCGGAAUUCGUGGUGUAGCGGUGAAAUGCUUAGAUAUCGCGAAGAACUCCGAUUGCGAAGGCAGUUCACUGGACUGCAACUGACACUGAGGCUCGAAAGUGUGGGUAGCAAACAGGAUUAGAUACCCUGGUAGUC
This 460-nucleotide ribosomal RNA is filed under the name uncultured bacterium. Its description in RNAcentral is "partial 16S ribosomal RNA". It matches the Rfam family "Bacterial small subunit ribosomal RNA", at positions 338 to 795 of the family's 1533-position model. The record is from RNAcentral.